CACAACAGCCACAACCAACAACUGCUCUGUGCUUUCCAGUAAGCCAAACUUCACCCCACUGGAGUUAGUUGAUUAUGUUGAGGAUGAGGAAACUAUAUCAGAAGAGAUCAGAAACACCCCACCUUCACGAUCCAUCAGCUGGAUUCCAACAGCUGUGGUGAGAAGUUCUUGGCAUCAGUCUGACUGUCACA
Long non-coding RNA from Scatophagus argus, 191 nucleotides. RefSeq lists it as uncharacterized. NCBI's taxonomy places the organism in Eukaryota, Metazoa, Chordata, Actinopteri, Scatophagidae. The transcript has 3 exons. The record is from RefSeq and is a predicted model, not a curated record.